AGUUCAGAUUGCAGGCUGCAACCCGCCCUGCAUGAAGUCGGAAUUGCUAGUAAUCGCGGAUCAGCAUGCCGCGGUGAAUGCGUUCCCGGGCCUUGUACACACCGCCCGUCACACCAUGGGAGUUUGUAACGCCCAAAGUCGGUGGCCUAACCUUUAUGGAGGGAGCCGCCUAAGGCGGGACAGAUGACUGGGGUGAAGUCGUAACAAGGUAUC
Molecule: ribosomal RNA, 213 nt
Filed under: uncultured bacterium
Lineage: Bacteria
Description: partial 16S ribosomal RNA
Rfam family: Bacterial small subunit ribosomal RNA
Source: RNAcentral